AGAGUUUGAUCAUGGCUCAGGACGAACGCUGGCGGCGUGCUUAACACAUGCAAGUCGAACGAGAAGAGAUGAGAAGCUUGCUUCUUAUCUCUUCGAGUGGCAAACGGGUGAGUAACGCGUAAGCAACCUGCCCUUCAGAUGGGGACAACAGCUGGAAACGGCUGCUAAUACCGAAUACGUUCUUUUUGUCGCAUGGCAGAGGGAAGAAAGGGAGGCUCUUCGGAGCUUUCGCUGAAGGAGGGGCUUGCGUCUGAUUAGCUAGUUGGAGGGGUAACGGCCCACCAAGGCGACGAUCAGUAGCCGGUCUGAGAGGAUGAACGGCCACAUUGGGACUGAGACACGGCCCAGACUCCUACGGGAGGCAGCAGUGGGGAAUCUUCCGCAAUGGACGAAAGUCUGACGGAGCAACGCCGCGUGAACGAUGACGGCCUUCGGGUUGUAAAGUUCUGUUAUACGGGACGAAUGGCGUAGCGGUCAAUACCCGUUACGAGUGACGGUACCGUAAGAGAAAGCCACGGCUAACUACGUGCCAGCAGCCGCGGUAAUACGUAGGUGGCAAGCGUUGUCCGGAAUUAUUGGGCGUAAAGGGCGCGCAGGCGGCGUCGUAAGUCGGUCUUAAAAGUGCGGGGCUUAACCCCGUGAGGGGACCGAAACUGCGAUGCUAGAGUAUCGGAGAGGAAAGCGGAAUUCCUAGUGUAGCGGUGAAAUGCGUAGAUAUUAGGAGGAACACCAGUGGCGAAAGCGGCUUUCUGGACGACAACUGACGCUGAGGCGCGAAAGCCAGGGGAGCAAACGGGAUUAGAUACCCCGGUAGUCCUGGCCGUAAACGAUGGAUACUAGGUGUAGGAGGUAUCGACCCCUUCUGUGCCGGAGUUAACGCAAUAAGUAUCCCGCCUGGGGAGUACGGCCGCAAGGCUGAAACUCAAAGGAAUUGACGGGGGCCCGCACAAGCGGUGGAACAUGUGGUUUAAUUCGAUGAUACGCGAGGAACCUUACCCGGGCUUAAAUUGCAGUGGAAUGAUGUGGAAACAUGUCAGUGAGCAAUCACCGCUGUGAAGGUGCUGCAUGGUUGUCGUCAGCUCGUGCCGUGAGGUGUCGGCUUAAGUGCCAUAACGAGCGCAACCCUUAUCUUCAGUUACUAACAGGUCAUGCUGAGGACUCUGGAGAGACUGCCGUCGUAAGAUGUGAGGAAGGUGGGGAUGACGUCAAAUCAGCACGGCCCUUACGUCCGGGGCUACACACGUGUUACAAUGGGGGGUACAGAGGGCCGCUACCACGCGAGUGGAUGCCAAUCCCAAAAACCUCUCUCAGUUCGGACUGGAGUCUGCAACCCGACUCCACGAAGCUGGAUUCGCUAGUAAUCGCGCAUCAGCCACGGCGCGGUGAAUACGUUCCCGGGCCUUGCACUCACCGCCCGU
This 1418-nucleotide ribosomal RNA is filed under the name uncultured bacterium. Its description in RNAcentral is "bacterial SSU rRNA". It matches the Rfam family "Bacterial small subunit ribosomal RNA". The record is from RNAcentral.